UCGCGGCUUAUCACCGGCAGUCCCCUUAGAGUGCCCAACUGAAUGAUGGCAACUAAGGGCGAGGGUUGCGCUCGUUGCGGGACUUAACCCAACAUCUCACGACACGGGCUGACGACAGCCAUGCAGCACCUGUCACUCAUCCAGCCGAGCUGAAGGAAAUCAUCUCUGAAAUCCGCGAUGAGGAUGUCAAACGCUGGUAAGGUUCUGCGCGUUGCAUCGAAUUAAAGAACAUGCUCCGCUGCUUGUGCGGGCCCCCGUCAAUUCCUUUGAGUUUUAGCCUUGCGGCCGUACUCCCCAGGCGGAAUGCUUAAAGCGUUAGCUGCGCCACUGAGCAGCAAGCUGCCCAACGGCUGGCAUUCAUCGUUUACGGCGUGGACUAC
Molecule: unclassified non-coding RNA, 380 nt
Filed under: uncultured Alphaproteobacteria bacterium
Lineage: Bacteria; Pseudomonadati; Pseudomonadota; Alphaproteobacteria
Description: contains 16S-23S intergenic spacer region
Source: RNAcentral